RNAcentral lists this ribosomal RNA (230 nucleotides) under uncultured bacterium. RNAcentral's name for it is "partial 16S ribosomal RNA". It matches the Rfam family "Bacterial small subunit ribosomal RNA", at positions 109 to 334 of the family's 1533-position model. The record is from RNAcentral.
AGUAACGCGUAGGUAACCUGCCUUGUAGCGGGGGAUAACUAUUGGAAACGAUAGCUAAUACCGCAUAACAAUGGAUGACACAUGUCAUUUAUUUGAAAGGGGCAACUGCUCCACUACAAGAUGGACCUGCGUUGUAUUAGCUAGUAGGUGAGGUAACGGCUCACCUAGGCGACGAUACAUAGCCGACCUGAGAGGGUGAUCGGCCACACUGGGACUGAGACACGGCCCAG